Molecule: long non-coding RNA, 1060 nt
Filed under: Homo sapiens (human)
Lineage: Eukaryota; Metazoa; Chordata; Mammalia; Primates; Hominidae
Description: non-protein coding LINC02456:9
Source: RNAcentral
GGCAAUGCGUCACCCUGCUUCGGCUCGCGCACGGUGCGUGCACCCACUGACCUGCGACCACUGUCUGGCACUCCCUAGUGAGAUGAACCCUGUACCUCAGAUGGAAAUGCAGAAAUCACCCGUCUUCUGCGUCGCUCAUGCUGGGAGCUGUAGACUGGAGCUGUUCCUAUUCGGCCAUCUUGGCUCUUCCCCCGUUUUACAAUUUAAAGGUAAAGACCUUCACAAUCGGGAACCCGUAGAUUGGAUCUUCUGAAAACAUCAGAGAAAGACUAUCUUUGCCAUCCACACUACAGUAAAACUUUGGAGCCUUGAACCUUGGAUUUAUAAUCUCACAACUGAGAAGGGUCCCUCCAUACUCCUGGAACUGUACACCCAUUGGAACUCUUAAGGUAAAACUAACCAGGAAAGUUUCUCCCCAGAAAAAGAUGGCAUCCUUGAUGUGAACAGCUUUUCCCAAGAUCACAGGUCAAAACUUCUACUAUCAUGAGACUCUUACCUUUGAAUAUUUUUACCUUGUUUAUGCCUCUAUGAGCAACAGAAAUGAAAAGUGGGUCUAUAAUGUGCACUUAUAGGGUAUAAUUUUAUUUGUGAAGGAUUUUGCGGGAAGCCAGCCUUAUACAUAAAUAAACUUAUACUUUAAUAGAUAAAAGAUGAAGGCCCAAGGUGGGUGAGAAACUUUAGUGGUACAUAUGUUGACUCAUAAUCAGUCAAAACUCCUCUUAACCCACAUCAUGGAUUAAAGAGAACAUUGCCAGGAGGCCUUCACUCUUCUAGAAGGACAUAAUUUGUUAGGUCCUUUUUCCAUGGUUUAGAAUACAAGAGGCAAUAAUUAGAAAUGUCUCCCUCUUAAUAGGCAUGGGUUCAAAUAAGGCAAACGUGGAGCUGUAGCCAAUCUCGCUGUUUGUGUACCUCACUUCUGAUUCCUGUGUGUCACUUUAACAUUUUUGUCUAUACAUUUUUUCUGACCAGGAGACACCCCUGGAGUCUGUGAAUCUGCUGUGAUUCUGGGGGCUGCCCGAAUCAUGAAUCAUUCAUUGCUCAAUUAAACUCCUUUAAGUUU